CAACCCUCAAGCGCAGCUUGGUCUUGGGCCCUGCCGGCAACGGCUGGCCUUAAAAGCAGUGGCGGCGCCAUCGAGCUCUACGCGUAGUAAUUCUACCCUCGCGUGUGAGUCCCGGUGGCCGCUGGCCAGCAACCCCCAAUUUUUUACU
Molecule: unclassified non-coding RNA, 148 nt
Filed under: uncultured Phialina
Lineage: Eukaryota; Ciliophora; Litostomatea; Haptorida; Lacrymariidae
Description: partial internal transcribed spacer 2
Source: RNAcentral